RNAcentral lists this ribosomal RNA (471 nucleotides) under uncultured bacterium. RNAcentral describes it as "partial 16S ribosomal RNA". It matches the Rfam family "Bacterial small subunit ribosomal RNA", at positions 28 to 506 of the family's 1533-position model. The record is from RNAcentral.
GACGAACGCUGGCGGCGUGCUUAACACAUGCAAGUCGAGCGGAAAGGCCCUUCGGGGUCCUCGAGCGGCGAACGGGUGAGUAACACGUGAGUAAUCUGCCCUUGGCUUUGGGAUAACUACCGGAAACGGUGGCUAAUACCGGAUACGACAACCGUCUGCAUGGGCUGGUUGUGGAAAGUUUUUUCGGCCAGGGAUGUGCUCGCGGCCUAUCAGCUUGUUGGUGGGGUAAUGGCCUACCAAGGCUUCGACGGGUAGCCGGCCUGAGAGGGUGACCGGCCACACUGGGACUGAGACACGGCCCAGACUCCUACUGGAGGCAGCAGUGGGAAAUAUUGGACAAUGGGCGGAAGCCUGAUCCAGCAACGCCGCGGGAGGGAGGACGGCCUUCGGGUUGUAAACCUCUUUCAGUACCGACGAAGCGCCGAUGAUGGUGGUGACGGUAGGUACAGAAGAAGCACCGGCAAACUACGU